Molecule: long non-coding RNA, 517 nt
Filed under: Rattus norvegicus (Norway rat)
Lineage: Eukaryota; Metazoa; Chordata; Mammalia; Rodentia; Muridae
Description: long non-coding RNA NONRATT033463
Source: RNAcentral
GUGAAAAUUCAGAGGAGCGACAGACAGCUUCCCUGGGAUCCCUGGGCCAGCAGCCAGUGCAGCGUUCAUACCAACCAUCACCAUAACCCGCACCACCCAGACCAUUGCCGAGUACCAGCCCUGGCUUUUCCGAAAGCGCUUACUCCAAACAGCCCUCCGGCUAUGGUGUCCUCGUCCUCUCCUACCUCUAUGAGUGCGUACAGCCUGAGUUCCCUGAACAUGGGGACUUUACCUCGAAGCCUCUACUCUACUAGUCCACGAGGAACCAUGAUGAGGAGGAGACUGAAAAAGAAGGACUUCAAAAGCUCACGUAAGUGAAAUGCUAACCAGAUGGUCUACUGGGUCUCUAGAAAAUUCACAAGAAGAGUACCCCAAGAGGUACAGUAGUUUGAGAGUUGCCGUGUAGCUGGUAGCUCUGUGCUAAGGAGCAUGAGUGAAACCCACGUCUGUAUGGUAAUGCUUACAUAUGGAUUUAGCUCACACUACCUUUUCCUAUAACUUUGUGCCUGCAUCUUUG